This 72-nucleotide transfer RNA is filed under the name Dallia pectoralis (Alaska blackfish). Its description in RNAcentral is "tRNA-OTHER". The record is from RNAcentral. Lineage: Eukaryota; Metazoa; Chordata; Actinopteri; Esociformes; Umbridae.
GAGUUGGUGGCUCGGUGGUCGAGUGCAUGCUUUGCAUAUAUGAUGUCCAGGGUUCAAUCCCCAGGUUGUUGA